Molecule: non-coding RNA, 30 nt
Filed under: Mus musculus (house mouse)
Lineage: Eukaryota; Metazoa; Chordata; Mammalia; Rodentia; Muridae
Source: RNAcentral
UAAGCUAUAAUACUCUAGGAGCUUGUGCGG